GUAGGUGAACAUGCGGAAGGAUCAUUA
RNAcentral lists this non-coding RNA (27 nucleotides) under Candida tropicalis. The record is from RNAcentral. Lineage: Eukaryota; Fungi; Ascomycota; Pichiomycetes; Serinales; Debaryomycetaceae. RNAcentral also lists the same sequence under 1 other name.